GGAUUUCAGGGCUGACAUCCCUUCCUUCUCUGUACCCCACAGAGCACAGCUCUCUUUACCAAAGCGAGCUGUAGACAGAGGCAGCAGGCUGCCUCACCGUGAGGUGGUGACUCAGGGGAUAACUGUGGGCAGGGGGGCUUUCCAGCAACCUAGUUAGCUGAAACCACACAGCAGCCUUCCCAGCCGGUGGGGUGACCUACUUCUCAAUUCCUGUAGCCUCAACGCCCAGCCGGCAGAAUGCUGAUGAGGGAAGCCAUGCUGGCCUCUGAUGAGAAAAGGGGACGGAGAUGCCACUGAUUGAUUUGACCUUGCAGAACUGUGGGGACAGGAUGUUCUGUUCUUUCUGAUGCUGUGAAGUGGUCUGGGUGAAGGGGACUUCCUGCUAAUCCGCAGAUUCCAUGGACCCCAGCCUAGGUGCAUUUUAUGAGCAGAGAAGGCAACAAACAACAAGAUAAUCUCACUUCCCCCAGUAAGAGAUGGAUGACCUUGAGGAGAGUAACACCAUCAACAUCAUCGUUACAGCCGUCAUCAUCACCACCAGCCACAUCUCCAGCCUCGAGCAUCAUCAUCGUCACCAUCAAAACGUAAUGGUCAGGUGAUAGCUAGUGUUGGGGCUCGCUGGAAGCUCCGACUUGGUGUGGUCCACAUCCUCCCUUCACCCUGGUUCUUGCUUUUCCUCUCCAAGCACUAGGGAAGCUGAAAAGUCCUUGCCUUGCGGUGCCCCUUACGAGAGACCACUGCCACUGCUGUUAGGUGACUUGGCCAGGAAGGAGGGCAUAUGGGUGAUGGCUCUGUCCUGGCAGGGAGCGUGCGUGUGCCAUCGCAGAGUAAUCCCACACUGGCACCAUCGGGGCGAUGUGGGCAAGCACAGCACAGCCCAAGGCCAAGUGCAAAUUGUUUUAAAAUGCACAAACGAGCUUGGUUCAGGUGCUGCCAAAGAGUUCUCCAUUUCAGCAGAGAGUUAUUCUGUGCACUUUUACUACCGCUUAUCCGAGGAAAGCACAACUGUUCGUGGAGUCGUUAAGCUGUGCUUUUAGGAGGUGCCGUCAAGGAAAGCCGGCCACAAAUCGAGCCUGAUUUGCUCAACUGGUUUGAGUUGCUUUUGUCAAAGCCACAUCAAACCUGCAAUCUGCGGGCUCUCCUUCCCUUGUGAAAUUGUCGCUCUGAACACUUGGAACCGAUUCGGUUCUGUGACACCUUUAGUCAUUCGAAGGGCCCACGUGCGCUCAGGCCUGUGAUGUGGCUCCUGACCUCAGGGAGCCAUGAAGGAAGUAGGAUGCUGUAGGAAAACAGGUGGUAGGGGGCGUGGCUACUGUGGGGGUGACAAAAGGAGGACAUAAUGUCAUCUACCAGAGACCUUCCUGUCUGGGGCUCCACUUCAGUGCUGGCCCGUGCAGUCUCAUGGACUUUUCAUGGUCCUGUUUGUCAAAAGCAGGAUGAAGGCUGUGGGGGAGACGUUCUGAGACCCACUUGAUCUCAUUUUAUACAGAAAAUAAAGUUUUCUAUACACUCACCCCAGAUCUUUGGCCUCUUGGUCAAAUGGGGUGAUGCUCUGCUGCUGGCUACUGGGGAGGCUGUUCUUGGUCCAUGGCUGCUCUGGUCCAAAGAGGAUUCUUCCAGCAAGGAGCAAGGGAGCAGAGGUCAUCAGGGAGACAAAUCAUGCACACCAUAGUUUGGGAGGAGGGAGUGGUUUGUAACAGGUAGGCAGGUAGGAUUUUGAAUCUCUUCUGGAUGCUCAAGGAGAGGGGAUACGAACCUAGACUCCUUUCUGAUACAAAUAAAGUCCUAUCAUGCUAUCUUGGAGGUGUCUGAUCUCAUCUGGAGGAGGAGACUCUAAGUCCUACACCUCCUCAUCUUCAAGGCCUACAAUGUGCAAGACCCUUCACAAACUGUUUACUGAAUGACCAAAUGCAUCCACACAGUUGGCCAAGGGGUCUUCUUAAACAGAAUGGCAGCCGUGGACCAGAAAGCCCUGCAGUGACAUGCUGGGACUCAGGAACCCAGGCUUGUAUUCACAUACCCCUCAGGUAUAGAUAGUCAUGUUGGCAGCUCACCCAGGUCAAGUCACCUCGCCACUUUGUGUCUGCAUUUUCUCAGUAUGUCCUGGGAAGAUUAAAUGAGCAGGUGUACAUUCUAUAUGGUGUACCUGGCACACAUCUAGCAUGAAAGACACAGCGGCUGUCUGUGUUUUAAGCUAGACUCUUGUGAGCAAUGAAGAUGACUCAGAUUUUUGUAGUAACUGGAUCCUUCAGGCCCCAGCAGCCCCCAGUGACAGGACUCUGGCCGUGUUUGGAGAACACAAAGCUAUCUUGUGUGUUUCUUUUGGUGUCUGUCACUGGGGAAAGUCAUAUGCUGACCCCAGGGCUUAGUGAGCAAAGGCACAGGUUAAAUGAGGUGACCCUUGCUCUUGGGGUGGGUGCUAGCUGCUCGGUCUAUAGAAAAGUCUAAGGACUCAGUUUCCCACAGAUCAAGGUCAGCCCGUGAAAGCCAGACCUCUGCUGAGCAGGGUGAAAGAUUGUUGCUGCCUGCUGGCUGUGUCCCCAGUGGCUGGCCCUCACAUUGCAUACCCCCCUGUCCUCUUCCUGACACUCACUGACUCCCUUAGCUAUCUGCCUUGAAGUAUAAUUGUAAGCAAUAGAAACCAAGUGUUCCAUUAUUGUAACCCAGUUCUGACAAAUGAAAACUGGGCAGAAUGAGGCAGCCACCGAGUGGCGUUAGCAGCAGCAAAGGCUAACUUAAUUAGAGAGCGGCUUUGAGGCAUGGGGCAGGAAGUGAAACGGCUUUCAAUGACAAACAUUUCUCAACCAUCCAAUGUACCAGUAGCCCUGGCAGGCUUACCCCUUUGUCUCCUUUAAAGGAAGAGUACACGCGUAGCUAAGGCAAGCUGGGAGACAGAACACAAUUCCCCAUUGUCACUGAGCCCCCUGGGAAGCUGGUCUUCAUUCCCAGAAGGCUCAGUGGCUCAGGAACACAGAGCCCCAGGGCAUGCAUGUCCUGUGGGGUGGCCGAGCCUGAGUGGUUUGGGGCAGAUUGUCUAGUUCUUAUUGGUUCCACUCACCAACGGGUCCUCCCACAUCUGUCACAAGUGGGGAAGCUUUAUAUGUGGAAUUUACCCCCCUAACUUCUAAGUGUACCCCCAUUUGCUGGGGAUGGAGAAACCUAGUCCCCCUAGACUGGAAUCAUUUGCUGCUCUUGUCCAAUGCCACCAUUGCCCUGAUUUCUUCCACAAGUCUGGCUCUUUGCACAGAAAAUAAACCUCCAGAGAAGGGUGACUAGCUAAAUCUUUUCCCGAGGAAUUUAUUUCCUGGGCUUCAAACUCACAGAAAUACAGAAAUGGGAAGGAAAGGCAGGCAAUGAUGCUAUCCACCACCUCUUCUUUAGCUGCAUUUCUACUGAUUUAUUUAUAGAUGUCACACAGGAUAUGGCACCUGGGAGGAGCUUGGUAAAUAGUCCUUAAUUGAUUACAACACAGAAAUCUAUCUGAAGAUCUUGAAGGAAAUAGGUGUAUUUCCAGCCUUGCGUCCUUCCUCCUGAAGAGAAAGCCAGAGUUCUCACCUGGUGAAAGGGCUGGGAGAGCCUGGUGCUCCCCCACCUCAACAAUCCCGAUAGAGUUGGUGAUUUUCUCCAUUGGCUUUCCUUCCUAAAUGCACUUGAAGCGACCACCAUGAAGACGGAAAGAGCUCUUCACGAGGUCCAGAGGCUAGCAGGCGACGGCUGCACCCUCCUGAAACUCAAGUAGUUCUUCUUUUUUCUUUUUUUUCUUUUCAAGCCGUGAUGAGAAGUGGCUGUGUCCUCAGGUGAAGCUAUCGUAGAAAGGCUAAAAGCAGCAGCCACUCGGGUUCCUAGCGCUCCAGAAACUACCCAUGGGCCAUGCAUGGCCUGCUAUUCUGGCCCGUUAAUGUCCUUGCUUCAGUCGGGUUGAUUAUUCUAGUGUUCAUCAGACCUGAUUCCCUGCUCGAUAAAACCCCAACCGUUAAGGGGAAGUGUUCGUCACCUCGGCACCUGGUUUCAGGACUGAAGUUGUGGCCUCACAGUUCUGCAAAACAAUGCACAAUCACCUUGGCUCAGGGAUCUCUGGUGGCUAAGUGCUAUCCUAGGAGCUGUCUGGCUAGGCCGGGUAAGUGGUGGGGAGUUCAGGUGACCAGGACUUCUAGGUUGCCAUGGAGAUUAUCAACCAUCUGAGGAAGCCUGCUGGGAGGGGUGGGAGGUGAGGAACCCCCCCACCCCCACCACCUGAGCUAGUUGUCUGCCUUUUACCAGUUUCUUGCUCCCCCCACCCCAGCUGGAACAUCCUGGAACCAGGCUGUCCCUAGUCUUUGUUGGUGGCUAUGGAACCAGGCUGUCCCUAGUCUUUGUUGGUGGCUAUGGAACCAGGCUGUCCCUAGUCUUUGUUGGUGGCUACUUGGGCCCUGGACUCUGGAAACAAAAGGGAAGCUAAGCAUUGUGGCUUCUCUUAGGAAACGCACCAAAUUCAUGCUUCUGGGUUCUCUUGCAAUUCUUCAGGGGCCCACAGAACCCGAGGGUGAUUUUUUUGUGGGUGUCCAGGAAGGGGAAGGUGCCUCUUGCCAUAUUCAGUCUGUGGGGCCCAACUACCAACUUGCCCUGAGAACCCUGCCCUCAGAAUUUCUAGCCACUCACUCCAGUUAGGGGACCUGGCCGUGAUGAGCCUCCUACCAGCUCCCCAUUGUUAAUUGCUGUGAUGGUCAAUAUUGAUUAUGAACUUGAUAGGGCCUUAAUUAAUCUUGGAGACAAACCUCCAUCACGAGAGAGAGUUUCUAGAUGAAUGGAGGUGAGGAGAUACACCCAAAAGGUGGCUGGUCCUGGGAUGAAUAAAAAUGAGAGUGAGAUGAGCAUCGGCAUGCAUUUCUCUUGGCUUCCCAGCUGCAGAUGCCUUGUGGUUCACACCCCUGCUGCAGGGCUUUCUCUGCCUCCCGCCAGGAGCCAGAAGGAAGUUUUUUCUCCCUCAAGCUACGGUGUGCCAGGUAAUUUGCCACAGCACCGAGGGAAGUAACCAGUGCCAUCUCCAAAAGCUUUGCCUACACCAUCUCCUGAAUUAUGGGGCCUUUAGGAGGUAGGCAUUACUAAUCUCAUUUUACAGAAGGGAGAGCGGAAGUUCAAGGUCACAGAGCUGACGGCCGUCAGAGCGUCGGAGGUCUCGCCCUCUCUGUCACGGCACUUGCUCAGAGGCAUGCCGAAGGACCUCACCACCCCCCAUCAUGUCCCCCCCCCAUGGGCACUGGGUUUUAUUUCUGCAGCAGCUCCCAUGGUUGUCCACCUUGUCUGCUCCUCAUCUCGAUUCUCCGUAGCUUUUGUCUUUUGCUCCCUUCCCACGUCCUUAAAGGCACCAGCCAAGCCCGUUUCACCCAGAAACACCUGGUCAGGAAGCUCAGGUGUUGGCCACCUGGGCACUGCCAAGGGCCAAGUCCAUGUAAUUAGCCAACUGAGCCCGGGGUUGGGGAAGACCUGGCCUGGACCAUGACGCCCUGUAGCUAAUGGAGCCGGGGUUGGGGAAGAGCUGGCCUGGAGUGUGAGACCCUGGCUCUGUAGAAUGCCUUACAGUGGAGAAGGCAGGCAGUGGGUUGUUUUUGUUUGUUUGUUUGUUUGUUUGUGUUUUUGUUUUUCUGCUUGCUGUAGGUUUUAAAUAUGGAAAGGCAGGCACUGUCAGUUCAGUGCGUUUGGGAGCAGUGUUCACAGCCCUGGGGAAGGGAUGAUGGCCACCAUGGUCACUGCUGGUUGAACUUAGAUUCUUUUGUCCUGAAGGGAAGGUCCCCUGACAGGUUUAGAGCUAGUCAUGCUUCUAAGAAUUGUCUCAUGACAGAGGCAGGCAAAGCCAGGGGCCUCUCUGCAACACCCAUGGGCCUUGGCAAAGGAGUCUUGGAAAAGCAUGUUCUUUCUUUCUUCCAGAGUCACAAAGGACACUGUUGGGAGAGGACUGUGGAAUGGCAGUGUGCCAGACAGCCCUGGCUCUCCCACAGUGGGGAUGCAAAGCCUUUACACCUUAGCCUCAUUCUUUGAAGAAAAAAAAAAAAAAGAAAAGAAAAAGAAGGAAAGAAAUAAAUGUAUUAUUUUUUU
Molecule: long non-coding RNA, 6072 nt
Organism: Peromyscus maniculatus bairdii (prairie deer mouse)
Lineage: Eukaryota; Metazoa; Chordata; Mammalia; Rodentia; Cricetidae
Source: RefSeq, a predicted model, not a curated record